Molecule: small nuclear RNA, 21 nt
Filed under: Arabidopsis thaliana (thale cress)
Lineage: Eukaryota; Viridiplantae; Streptophyta; Magnoliopsida; Brassicales; Brassicaceae
Description: snRNA_10649
Source: RNAcentral
CAGCCCUUUGUCGCUAAGAUU